ACCAACACGGAGAACAGCAUAUGCACGGAAAUAUGGAAUGAUAUUUCAUCGGGAGUUCCGCCAAAGACGGAUAUCUGCAUAGAAGGUAUCCAUGUUGUGUUGCGCUGAAUAGAAGAUGUCCUGUUGGAGACUUCUGCAGCUGUGCUGUGAGGAUUAAAAAA
Long non-coding RNA from Thalassophryne amazonica, 161 nucleotides. RefSeq lists it as uncharacterized. The record is from RefSeq and is a predicted model, not a curated record. The transcript is spliced from 3 exons. NCBI's taxonomy places the organism in Eukaryota, Metazoa, Chordata, Actinopteri, Batrachoidiformes, Batrachoididae.